CGGGGUGUCGUAUACCGGUAGUACGAGUGCUUUGGGAGCAUUUAGACAGGGUUCAAUUCCCUGCACCCCGACCA
Molecule: transfer RNA, 74 nt
Filed under: Candidatus Moranbacteria bacterium RIFCSPHIGHO2_02_FULL_40_12b
Lineage: Bacteria; Candidatus Moraniibacteriota
Description: tRNA-Pro
Rfam family: tRNA
About the family: Transfer RNA (tRNA) molecules are approximately 80 nucleotides in length. Their secondary structure includes four short double-helical elements and three loops (D, anti-codon, and T loops).
Source: RNAcentral